RNAcentral lists this ribosomal RNA (472 nucleotides) under uncultured Alphaproteobacteria bacterium. RNAcentral describes it as "bacterial SSU rRNA". It matches the Rfam family "Bacterial small subunit ribosomal RNA", at positions 9 to 526 of the family's 1533-position model. The record is from RNAcentral. Lineage: Bacteria; Pseudomonadati; Pseudomonadota; Alphaproteobacteria.
GAGUUUGAUCUUGGCUCAGAGCGAACGCUGGCGGCAGGCCUAACACAUGCAAGUCGAACGGAUCCUUCGGGAUUAGUGGCGGACGGGUGAGUAACACGUGGGAACGUGCCCUUUGGUUCGGAACAACUCAGGGAAACUUGAGCUAAUACCGGAUGUGCCCUUCGGGGGAAAGAUUUAUCGCCAUUGGAGCGGCCCGCGUCUGAUUAGCUAGUUGGUGAGGUAAAGGCUCACCAAGGCGACGAUCAGUAGCUGGUCUGAGAGGAUGAUCAGCCACACUGGGACUGAGACACGGCCCAGACUCCUACGGGAGGCAGCAGUGGGGAAUCUUGCGCAAUGGGCGAAAGCCUGACGCAGCCAUGCCGCGUGAAUGAUGAAGGUCUUAGGAUUGUAAAAUUCUUUCACCGGGGACGAUAAUGACGGUACCCGGAGAAGAAGCUCCGGCUAACUUCGUGCCAGCAGCCGCCGCAGUAAC